Sus scrofa (pig) is the source of this 2307-nucleotide long non-coding RNA. RefSeq lists it as uncharacterized. The record is from RefSeq and is a predicted model, not a curated record. NCBI's taxonomy places the organism in Eukaryota, Metazoa, Chordata, Mammalia, Artiodactyla, Suidae.
GGCUUCCGUUUUGUUCCCGCCACAAAGGACCGUAAAAAUAUCGCGAGAUUUCGUAGAGCGCAACCGCGGUUUUAUUUGCUCAAGCUCAGAAAAAUCUGAAAGGGAAAACUGUCCUGCUUUGGAGAAUGGUGGUGGCUACGGGUUACGGUUCAUUCUUCAGCUCCGUGAACAAGAACUGGGAUUCCGGUAACAUCUUUCCGGGGCCUGUCCAAGAUCUGAUACACCAGCACUCAUAAGCUUGCCACAGGGAAUUCAGAGUGACAACGGAUCGGCCUUUAAGGCAGCCGGAACCCAGGGAGUGUCCCAAGCUUUAGGAAUAAAAUAUCAUUUGCACUGUGCUUGGAGACCACACGUAUCAGGAAAAGUGGAAAAAACAUGACUUGAUGAAACGUCGCCUACAAAAACUAUCACAGGAAACUCAUCUUCCCUGGUAAUCCCUCCUUUCCUUGGCCUUAAUACAGAUUAGGGAAACUCCUAGGAGUCAGGGGCUUAGUCCAUUUGAAAUAUUAUAUGGACGGCCCUCUCUUAGAAAUGAUCUCCUGCUUGAUCAGCAGACGGCUGAACUUACGAAGUAUAUGAGCAAUCUAGCCGUUGUUCAACAACAGCUUUCGAACUUGAAAAACAGUCUAGAUCAGAGGAAAGAAAGUGAGAAACCUCUUUAUCACUCAGGGGAUAUAGUAUUAGUAAGUCCCUCCCCAACAAUUCUCCUUCACUGGAGCCUAUCUGGGAAGGACCCUGCACUGUCAACCUUUCCUCCUCUACCGCUGUUGAGGUUGCAGCACAAUCUUGGAUUGGAUUCACCACACAGGAACCAAAGCCUGGAACCUGGAGAAAGAAGAUGCCCCACCCUCAACUACCGAGGAAAACUCCCCUGAAUACCAAUGCAACCCUCUGGAGGAAAUCAAGGAACCCUUCCAACAAACAAGGGAACAAUCAGAAUGAAACGAGUGGUCAGUGUAAUUGCUUUUCUCUCCUUUGCCAUGGGGGAUUCUUCCACUUCCUUACAGUGGGUACAGGGAAAUGUUUUGUCUCCUGGGCUCACUCCUAUGCCUACUUCCAGAAUCAAUCAGACUGCUGUGUCUGCAGAGCAUUACCUAUGUCGUUUGUAGAAGGAUUCCACAUAGGGAAACAACUGCUUGCAAGUAUGUGAAUUCCUGCAUCAGAAUGGGACUGAUUCCCCACAAGAUCUCUGGACAGCAAAUAAGUUGUCCUGUCCAACUCCAGCUUUUGGCACUACCCUCCAGAACUGGUUAACAUCCUCUUCCUGGUGGAAAUGUUUGUUUACAACAAUCGCAAUCAUCAUGUGGUCUUUUUUUUUUUUUUCUUUCUUUCUCUUUUUAGGGCUGCACCUGAGGCAUAUGGAAGUUCCCAGGCUAGGGGAUGAAUCAGAGCUAUAGCUGCUGGCCUACACCACAGCCACAGCAAUGGCAGAUCUGAGAUGCAUCUUUGACCUACACCACAGCUCAUGGUAACGCUGGAUCCUUAACCCACUGAAUGAGAGCAGGGAUCAAACCUGAAUCCUCAUGGAUCUAGUUGGGUUUGUUAACCACUGAGCCAUGAAGGGAGCUCCUCAUCAUUGUGAUCUUGAUUCUCUUAUUUGGACCCAGUAUAAUUAAUUGUAUUUCCUGCUUCAUCGAAUCCUGAUUAGAAGCUAUUAGAUUUCAGAUGGUAAUAGAAGGGGAACCCAGUGCGAUAUAUCAAAGCCCGCUUGACCGUCCCAUGAGUGGAGACCUAACUCCUUUCCCCUAACAAAGCCCCUUGUCAGCAGGAAGCAGUCAGAGCGGUCUUUACCCCUCACCCUGCAGUUAGAGUCUCCAACUUUAGAGGGGGGAUUGAGGCGGAAUAAUUCUGGUAGUUAGUGUAGGAACACGGGCUUCCAUAUAUUCCCUGAUUAAUGUCCACGGUUUUAAAUUUGUAAAAACAAAUCAAGAUAAACAGCCCUUGCUUGUUGGAAGAUUAACUACUGAAAGUACAUCUGUGGACAUUAACCUCUGAUCUACACAUUUGGCUGCUAGAAAAGGAAUGUAAAGAAUGGCAACUCUAAGUCUAAGGGAAAGAAGAACAAAAGGACCAUAAAGCCUAUGGAGUAUAUCCUGACUCUAAGCCCCUAUUGGACAAGGCCCAGUAUAGGUGCUGGGCAAGGCCAACAGGGAGCAGGACUGAUAGCAGGACCCCAUGUUGGUACCCCUGUCUUUAAGAGAUAACACCUCCUUAGAAAGUUAGUGUGUGGGAAAUCUUCCUCUCCCUCGCAGUGUCUGUGCUGGGAGCUAUCUGCCUUUCUCUAAUAAAGACUUUUGCUUUCUUGCU